CCUACGGGUGGCUGCAGUGGGGAAUAUUGGACAAUGGGGGAAACCCUGAUCCAGCGACGCCGCGUGAGUGAAGAAGUAUUUCGGUACGUAAAGCUCUAUCAGCAGGAAAGAAAAUGACGGUACCUGACUAAGAAGCCCCGGCUAACUACGUGCCAGCAGCCGCGGUCAUACGUAGGGGGCAAGCGUUAUCCGGAUUUACUGGGUGCAAAGGGAGCGUAGACGGGUGCGCAAGUCUGGAGUGAAAUGCCGGGGCCCAACCCCGGAACUGCGCCGGAAACUGUGAGGCUUGAGUGCAGAAGAGGUGAGCGGAAUUCCUGGUGUAGCGGUGAAAUGCGUAGAUAUCAGGAGGAACACCGGCGGCGAAGGCGGCUUACUGGACUGUAACUGACGUUGAGGCUCGAAGGCGUGGGGAGCAAACAGGAUUAGAUACCCGGGUAGUC
RNAcentral lists this ribosomal RNA (440 nucleotides) under uncultured bacterium. RNAcentral's name for it is "partial 16S ribosomal RNA". It matches the Rfam family "Bacterial small subunit ribosomal RNA", at positions 338 to 795 of the family's 1533-position model. The record is from RNAcentral.